RNAcentral lists this non-coding RNA (30 nucleotides) under Homo sapiens (human). Lineage: Eukaryota; Metazoa; Chordata; Mammalia; Primates; Hominidae. The record is from RNAcentral.
UGACAUUUAACUUGCCUUCCUCCCUCGAAA